This is a non-coding RNA of Scophthalmus maximus (turbot), 473 nucleotides long. The record is from the annotation of a RefSeq genome assembly. Lineage: Eukaryota; Metazoa; Chordata; Actinopteri; Pleuronectiformes; Scophthalmidae.
AUGACUCUGACCUGCGUCCUCAUCUGGACUCUCCUCUGCUGCUGCUUCACAGAGUCCAGAGGCCAAGUCACAGUGACUCAGCCUGGAGCAGUGAGAUCAGCUGUGGGAAACUCCGCCACCAUCUCAUGCAGAACCAGUCAGAAUGUUUAUAGCUCAAACUAUUUAGCCUGGUACCAACAGAGAGAUGGAGAAACUCCUAAACUGCUCAUUUACUUGGCUUCCACUCGAGCAUCAGGGAUUCCAGGUCGUUUUACAGGCAGUGGAUCAAACUCUGACUUCACUCUGACCAUCAGUGGAGUCCAGGCUGAAGAUGCUGCAGUUUACUACUGUCAGAGUCUUCACUACAUCAACAGUCAGUGGGUGUUCACACAGUGAAAAAGCGUCGUACAAAAACCUCCGUCAGCUGAAGAGGAACUGAUCUGACUCAUCAGCUGCACAGAAACUCACACAUGAAGUAAAUAAAACCAAAGUAU